This is a long non-coding RNA of Carcharodon carcharias (great white shark), 639 nucleotides long. RefSeq lists it as uncharacterized. The record is from RefSeq and is a predicted model, not a curated record. The transcript is spliced from 2 exons. NCBI's taxonomy places the organism in Eukaryota, Metazoa, Chordata, Chondrichthyes, Lamniformes, Lamnidae.
CCCCUUCCCCCCAGGUUUGUUGCUAUCAGUGACCUGUACGAGCCGAUUGAAGAUGGGACGGAGAGUCAGGUCUUCGUCUCUCGCUCAUAUGAUGCCACCACUCACUUCGAGACCACGUGUAACGACAUCAAGGACAUCUACAAGCGCAUGACAGGGACCGACUUUGAUUUCGAGAACAUGAAGCGCAAGAAGAACGACGUCUUUGGAGAGGACGAGCAGUAGCGUGGCCGAGCGUGGGUGACCGGACUCCACCCUGCUCGCGCACACCCCUCCCCUCCCUUUUCCACCUCCGCCCCCCCCGCCCCCCCCCCAACCUCGUCUUCGUCCCUCCCCUCACCCCUUUCCUGUCUUAACUCUCUCCUCCGAUAAUUAUAAACAAGCCGCCUUACUAGAACGGUUACCCUUGAGCGGCUGCUGCUGGGAUGCGCUCUUUCCCACCUCCUCCAACCCCCGCCUCCUCUACUCCCUUCCCUCCCCUUCCCUCCUCCCUGGGUGACACACGUUAGAGGGCGGGUUGCGCGAGAGUUAAUUUGAGUUUUAAAAGAAAUGACGAGCGUGCCCUCCUUUGCCCCUGCCAGGGCAGCUGUUAACCUGAUACGGCCAGUGGACUGAAAUAAAGAGAUCAAACACUCUGCCUGA